Molecule: long non-coding RNA, 2242 nt
Organism: Coturnix japonica (Japanese quail)
Lineage: Eukaryota; Metazoa; Chordata; Aves; Galliformes; Phasianidae
Source: Ensembl
CUCCGCCAUACGCUCCCCCGCUGUGUGGACCUGCGGCACCCAUUGGCGCAGCACCGCGACCUCAUUGACCCCAUUAACCCCAAUGACCCCAAUGACCCACUGUCCCCAACGACCCCAUUGACCCCAUUGACCCCAUUGACCCCAUUGACCCCAAUGUCCCCAUUGACCCCAAUACCCCCAUUGCCCCCAUUAACCCCAUUCACCCCAUUGCCCCCAUUGACCCCAAUACCCCAUUAACCCCAAUACCCCCAUUCACCCCAUUGACCCCAUUGACCCCAAUGUCCCCAUUGACCCCAAUGGCCCCAUUCACCCCAUUAACCCCACUCACCCCAUUAACCCCAUUGCCCCCAUUAACCCCAUUAACCCCAUUAACCCCAUUCACCCCAUUGCCCCCAUUGACCCCAUUAACCCCAUUCACCCCAUUGACCCCAUGACCCCAAUAACCCUACUGACCCCAAUGACCCCAACAACCCCAUUAGCCCCAAUGACCCCAUAACCCCCACGACCUCCGAUGACCCCAUGACCCCACCGUGACCCCAUGACCCCUGACCUCGUUCCCGAUGAUGUCGACGCGGUGCUGGACCUGGGGCACCCAUUGGCGCAGCACCGCGAACAAUUGUGGGAUGGUGGUUUUGGGGUCGAGCAGAAUCUGCUGACAGGCCGCGUCAGUGGGGUCAAAGAACGUGAAGGCUGACGGGGUCAAAGGGCAAAGGUUAAAGCAUGGAGGUCAACUGGGGUCCGAGUCCCAUUAGCGGGGUCCCAUCCCCCAUUAUUGGGGUCUUAUAUCCCAGUAUUGGGGUCCCAUCCCCCAUUAUUGGGCUCCUAUAUCACAUUAUUGGGGUCCCAUCCCCCAUUAUUGGGGUCCUAUACCCCAUUAUUGGGGUCCCAUCCCNGGGGUCCCAUCCCUAUUAUUGGGGUCCUAUUCCUAAUGCUGGGGUCCCAUCCCUAUUAUUGGGGUCCCAGUGCCUCCUAUUGGGGUCCUAUACCCCAUUAUUGGGGUCCUAUACCCGUUAUUGGGGUCCUAUACCCGUUAUUGGGGUCCUAUACCCCAUUAUUGGGGUCCUAUACCCGUUAUUGGGGUCCUAUACCCUGUUAUUGGGGUCCCAUUCCCAAUGUUGGGGUCCUAUACCCCAUUAUUGGGGUCCCAGUGAUUCCAAUUGGGGACCCAAUGCCCAUUAUUGGGGUCCCAGUGCCUCCAAUUGGGGUCCUAUACCCCAAUAUUGGGGUCCCAGUGCCUCCUAUUGGGGUCCCAGUGCCUCCUAUUGGGGUCCUAUACCCCAUUAUUGGGGUCCCAGUGCCUCCUAUUGGGGUUCCAUUCCCCAUUAUUGGGGUCCCAUUCCCAAUGUUGGGCUCCCAUCCUCCAUUAUUGGGGUCCUAUAUCCCAUUAUUGGGGUCCCCGUGCCUCCAAUUAGGGUCCUAUUCCCUGUUAUUGGGGUCCUAUACCCCAUUAUUGGGGUCCGAUCCACCAUUAUUGGGGUCCUAUAUCCCAUUAUUGGGGUCCAAUACCCCAUUAUUGGGGUCCCUGUGCCUCCUAUUGGGGUCCCAGUGCCCAUUAUUGGGGUCCUAUACCCCAUUAUUGGAGUCCCAUCCACCAUUAUUGGGGUCCUAUACCCCAUUAUUGGGGUCCCAGUGCCCAUUAUUGGGGUCCCAUUCUCAUUAUUGGGGUUCUAUACCCUGUUAUUGGGGUCCCAACCCCCAUUAUUGAGGUCCUAUACCCUGUUAUUGGGGUCCUAUACCCCGUUAUUGGGGUCCCAGUGUCAAUUACUGGGGUCCUAUACACCAUUAUUGGGGUCCCAUCCACAUUAUUGGGGUCCCAUCCACCAUUACUGGGGUCCUAUAUCCCACUAUUGGAGUCCUAUACCCAUUAUUGGGGUCCAAUACCCCAUUAUUGGGGUCCCAUACCCCAUUAUUGGGAUCCCAUCCACCAUUAUUGGGGUCCUAUACCCCAUUAUUGGGAUCCCAUCCACCAUUAUUGGGGUCCUAUAUCCCAUUAUUGGGGUCCCAGUGCCCAUUAUUGGGGUCCCAUUCCUAUUACUGGGGUCCCAGUGCCUCCUAUUGGGGUCCCAUCACCCAUUAUUGGGGUCCCAUCCUCCAUUAUUGGGGUCCUAUACCCCAUUAUUGGGGUCCCAGUGCCUCCUAUUGGGGUCCCAGUGCCCUUUAUUGGGAUCCCAUCCCCCAUUAUUGGGGUCCCAUCCCCCUAUUUAGCCCCCCCCCCUUCAUUUAUGGUCCCCCCCCUCCCCUU